UACGUAGGUGGCAAGCGUUAUCCGGAAUUAUUGGGCGUAAAGGGUGCGUAGGUGGUUUCUUAAGUCAGAGGUGAAAGGCUACGGCUCAACCGUAGUAAGCCUUUGAAACUGGGAAACUUGAGUGCAGGAGAGGAGAGUGGAAUUCCUAGUGUAGCGGUGAAAUGCGUAGAUAUUAGGAGGAACACCAGUUGCGAAGGCGGCUCUCUGGACUGUAACUGACACUGAGGCACGAAAGCGUGGGGAGCAAACAGGAUUAGAUACCCCCGUAGUCCCUGAGCGGG
This 281-nucleotide ribosomal RNA is filed under the name uncultured prokaryote. RNAcentral's name for it is "partial 16S ribosomal RNA". It matches the Rfam family "Bacterial small subunit ribosomal RNA", at positions 524 to 803 of the family's 1533-position model. The record is from RNAcentral.